UAAAGAAAAGAAAAAUGUAAAUAAACAAACAAAACAUUACAAAGUAAGUAUGCCCUCUCAUAAUUAUGUUAUAUCUCAAUAUCAUGGGCAACAAGCUUGAGGUGUCCUUUUUUGGGAUAUUUAUACUACAGAGUUAUAGGGGGCCGACCCGCCACAAUUCUGGUUAAGUACAGCGCCUGUAAAUUCAAAUAUUGAUUUGAUUUUGGAUUGUGUUACUCUGUCUAGAGAAUUAAAAUAGAGUUGCCAAGUGAGGACGAUUUUUUUCGUGAGGGUACUUUUAUUUAACCGGGUUUCUAACUAAUCCUUAUCACAUUGAAGAGAAGGAACCUCCCUUCUAGGUCUCGGAUUUGUUUGUGGAUAGUUGGAAAGAUAAAUUUUAUAAGUAAUAUUGCUACUACUCGAGUUUGAUGCAUGUGUUUAUCCAUC
Non-coding RNA from Pelobates cultripes (western spadefoot toad), 426 nucleotides. NCBI's taxonomy places the organism in Eukaryota, Metazoa, Chordata, Amphibia, Anura, Pelobatidae. The record is from the annotation of a GenBank genome assembly.